Molecule: long non-coding RNA, 360 nt
Organism: Serinus canaria (Common canary)
Lineage: Eukaryota; Metazoa; Chordata; Aves; Passeriformes; Fringillidae
Exons: 4
Source: RefSeq, a predicted model, not a curated record
UGUAUGAAGGCAUCACUGACAUCAGCAAUUGGAAAGUAAAGAAAACAGUCCAGAUAGAAAUCCUGCUACUCCCUCUGUGCUAUGAGAGGAGUCCCAAAGCAUAAUCUCGAGCGCAGUCUCAUGGACAUUGCUUUUGACAUCAUCAUCAAAAUCCUGGACUGUUUCUAAGAGUUUUUGCCACUGUGGUGCACAGAAGUGGGAUGGAAACAAAAUACAGAGGCAAUGCACACCAAAUCUUGGUGGUUGAGGAGCUGCUGAACACCUUGAUGGACAGGACUGGGAUACAGAAGAGCUUCUUUGACAGGAUGUGACUGGUUUGACUGAAUAUGAGAGCUGAGUUUUCCCCAGGAUCUUCAGAUG